This 253-nucleotide ribosomal RNA is filed under the name uncultured bacterium. RNAcentral's name for it is "partial 16S ribosomal RNA". It matches the Rfam family "Bacterial small subunit ribosomal RNA", at positions 524 to 776 of the family's 1533-position model. The record is from RNAcentral.
UACGUAGGGUGCAAGCGUUGUCCGGAAUUAUUGGGCGUAAAGAGCUCGUAGGCGGUUUGUCGCGUUGUCCGUGAAAACUCACAACUCAAUUGUGGGCGUGCGGGCGAUACGGGCAGACUGGAGUACUGCAGGGGAGACUGGAAUUCCUGGUGUAGCGGUGGAAUGCGCAGAUAUCAGGAGGAACACCGGUGGCGAAGGCGGGUCUCUGGGCAGUAACUGACGCUGAGGAGCGAAAGCGUGGGGAGCGAACAGG